GGAGAAAAACAACUCAAACAAAUCCAGGCUUCCCAAUUUUAGUCCAAUGGCUUCACUAGUAAUCUUUUCCCAUAAAACAACAAAUCCAUAAAGUCAGCUACCCCAAUUAGUCAGUCAGUUUUGCUAUUGUCUGCUUCAACACUCUAUUCGGAAGCUGAAAAAAAGGAAAAAAGAACAAAGCAAAUAGAAGUCCAAGGGAGAG
RNAcentral lists this unclassified non-coding RNA (202 nucleotides) under Hevea brasiliensis (rubber tree). The record is from RNAcentral. Lineage: Eukaryota; Viridiplantae; Streptophyta; Magnoliopsida; Malpighiales; Euphorbiaceae.